Molecule: long non-coding RNA, 226 nt
Organism: Dreissena polymorpha
Lineage: Eukaryota; Metazoa; Mollusca; Bivalvia; Myida; Dreissenidae
Exons: 2
Source: RefSeq, a predicted model, not a curated record
GUCAAAUUAAAUUUACUUCGAACAUCUUUCAUUGGAGGUACAAUGCGGCUGGGUUCUAGUUUGCAGCGUAAUUUAGCUCCGUGUAAUCGGUAUCCUACAAUAAAUAAGUGCAACUCCAGGAAGUGUUUAUGUUGCAAGUUUUUAAAUAUGUCCUCUUUUAUUCUUUCAUCGGUUAAUAACCGCAAAUUUUCAGUUAAUAUUAAAUCCGAUGUCUCAUGAAAUUCUA